ACCCGCUGAACUUAAGCAUAUCAAUAAGCGGAGGAAAAGAAACCAACAGGGAUUGCCUUAGUAACGGCGAGUGAAGCGGCAAAAGCUCAAAUUUGAAAUCUGGCACCUUCGGUGUCCGAGUUGUAAUUUGAAGAAGGUAACUUUGGAGUUGGCUCUUGUCUAUGUUCCUUGGAACAGGACGUCACAGAGGGUGAGAAUCCCGUGCGAUGAGAUGCCCAAUUCUAUGUAAAGUGCUUUCGAAGAGUCGAGUUGUUUGGGAAUGCAGCUCUAAGUGGGUGGUAAAUUCCAUCUAAAGCUAAAUAUUGGCGAGAGACCGAUAGCGAACAAGUACAGUGAUGGAAAGAUGAAAAGAACUUUGAAAAGAGAGUGAAAAAGUACGUGAAAUUGUUGAAAGGGAAGGGCUUGAGAUCAGACUUGGUAUUUUGCGAUCCUUUCCUUCUUGGUUGGGUUCCUCGCAGCUUACUGGGCCAGCAUCGGUUUGGAUGGUAGGAUAAUGACUAAGGAAUGUGGCUCUACUUCGGUGGAGUGUUAUAGCCUUGGUUGAUACUGCCUGUCUAGACCGAGGACUGCGUCUUUUGACUAGGAUGUUGGCAUAAUGAUCUUAANCCACCCGUCUGAAACACGGACCAAGGAGU
Molecule: ribosomal RNA, 635 nt
Filed under: Debaryomyces hansenii
Lineage: Eukaryota; Fungi; Ascomycota; Pichiomycetes; Serinales; Debaryomycetaceae
Description: eukaryotic LSU rRNA
Rfam family: Eukaryotic large subunit ribosomal RNA
Source: RNAcentral